Molecule: ribosomal RNA, 607 nt
Filed under: uncultured bacterium
Lineage: Bacteria
Description: bacterial SSU rRNA
Rfam family: Bacterial small subunit ribosomal RNA
Source: RNAcentral
CCAGACUCCUACGGGAGGCAGCAGUAGGGAAUCUUCGGCAAUGGGGGGAACCCUGACCGAGCAACGCCGCGUGAGUGAAGAAGGUUUUCGGAUCGUAAAGCUCUGUUGUUAAGGAAGAACGAGUGUGAGAAUGGAAAGUUCAUACUGUGACGGUACUUAACCAGAAAGGGACGGCUAACUACGUGCCAGCAGCCGCGGUAAUACGUAGGUCCCGAGCGUUGUCCGGAUUUAUUGGGCGUAAAGCGAGCGCAGGCGGUUAGAUAAGUCUGAAGUUAAAGGCAGUGGCUCAACCAUUGUAGGCUUUGGAAACUGUUUAACUUGAGUGCAGAAGGGGAGAGUGGAAUUCCAUGUGUAGCGGUGAAAUGCGUAGAUAUAUGGAGGAACACCGGUGGCGAAAGCGGCUCUCUGGUCUGUAACUGACGCUGAGGCUCGAAAGCGUGGGGAGCGAACAGGAUUAGAUACCCUGGUAGUCCACGCCGUAAACGAUGAGUGCUAGGUGUUAGGUCCUUUCCGGGACUUAGUGCCGCAGCUAACGCAUUAAGCACUCCGCCUGGGGAGUACGACCGCAAGGUUGAAACUCAAAGGAAUUGACGGGGGCCCGCACAAG